AUGAGUGAUUUUGCAAAGAGAUUCUUAAGAAAACAAAGCCGCUCAGGUGGCCCAAAAGGCCCAAAGGUCCAUCAAUAUAUCCUCAUUCGGCCUACAGCUGCGAGCGCUUCUGGGCAAAGCGCUUUGACGGACAUGGGCGGCGCCGCCGUAGCCUUGCUCGUCGCCACUAGACGACGCUCCACCCCGCUCGUUACCUCCUCACUCCCUCGUGCUGCGCGCGGUCUCCACGAGGCUGCAGCGGCGGCUGGGGAGGACAAGGCGAGGACUCGCCGGCGGAGGAGUAGUAGCAGCAGCUUUCUUGGACCGGACAUCACCGACACCUGGGAUCCACCCCCGCGCCCCGCGGCGAGGCCGCUUCCCCCACGAGCUGCCGGAGUUGAUUACGAGUCCACGGCAACCACUAUCGAUGGCAAGUCCAUUGCAGAGGACAUAAGGUUACAGAUUGCUGAGGAGGUUCUCCAAAUGAAAAAUGCAGUCGGACAUGUUCCUGGCCUUGCUGUCGUACUGGUAGGCGAUAGAAAGGACUCUCAGUCCUACGUGAGAUUCAAAGUAAAGGGUUGUGAGGAAGUCGGAAUAAAAUCUUUGUUGGCGGAGUUGCCUAGGAACUGCACAGAAGAUGAGGUGGUGGAUUCGGUGUCAAGAUUCAAUGAAGACCCAUCCGUUCAUGGCGUCCUUGUUCAGCUACCACUACCACAACAUAUGGAUGAAGAAAAGAUUCUCAACGCCAUUAGCCUAGACAAGGAUGUUGAUGGUUUCCACCCCUUAAACGUUGGUAAUCUUGCCCUUAGAAGCCGGAAACCUUUGUUUGUUUCCUGUGCUGCAAAGGCCUGCCUUGAGUUAUUGCUCCAAUCUGGUAUUGAUCUCAUGGGAAAGCAUGUCACUAUUAUCGGGAGAAGCAAGGUUGUUGGAUUACCCACUUCCUUACUUUUGCAGAGACAUCACGCUACUGUAAGUGUUAUCCAUGCCUUCACAGAAAAUCCAGAGGAGAUUACUCGUGAAUCUGACAUUGUGAUCUCAGCUGCUGGAGUGGCCAACCUUGUAAGAGGAAGUUGGUUAAAGCAAGGUGCAGUUGUGAUUGAUGUUGGGACAAAUCCAGUAGAGGAUCCAGCCAGUGAUUAUGGCUAUCGAUUAACCGGAGAUGUCUGCUUCGAAGAAGCAGUGAAUGUGGCUUCUGCUAUAACUCCAGUUCCAGGCGGAGUGGGACCAGUCACCAUCGCAAUGCUUCUUGGCAACACGCUUGACUCAGCCAAACGAGUUUAUGGCUUGAGUGACUGA
RNAcentral lists this ribosomal RNA (1275 nucleotides) under Triticum aestivum (bread wheat). RNAcentral's name for it is "partial small subunit ribosomal RNA". Lineage: Eukaryota; Viridiplantae; Streptophyta; Magnoliopsida; Poales; Poaceae. The record is from RNAcentral.